This 301-nucleotide ribosomal RNA is filed under the name uncultured Bacillus sp. Its description in RNAcentral is "bacterial SSU rRNA". It matches the Rfam family "Bacterial small subunit ribosomal RNA", at positions 493 to 794 of the family's 1533-position model. Lineage: Bacteria; Bacillati; Bacillota; Bacilli; Caryophanales; Bacillaceae. The record is from RNAcentral.
CCGGCGAAAUACGUGCCAGCAGCCGCGUGAAUAACAAUGGGGUCAGAGUGGUUCGAAAUCAAUGCGCGUAAAGCGAACUUAUGCGGACUUUUAAGUCAGGGGUGAAAUCCCGGGGCUGAACCUCGGAACUUCCUUUUAUACUGGAAGUCGUGAGUCCGAGAGAGGUGAGUGGAACUCCUAGUGUAGAGGUGAAAUUCGUAGAUAUUCGGAAGAACACCAGUGGCGAAGGCGGCUCACUGGCUCGGUACUGACGCUGAGGUGCGAAAGCGUGGGGAGCAAACAGGAUAGAUACCCUGGUAGU